Long non-coding RNA from Lycium ferocissimum, 1836 nucleotides. RefSeq lists it as uncharacterized. The record is from RefSeq and is a predicted model, not a curated record. The transcript is spliced from 2 exons. Lineage: Eukaryota; Viridiplantae; Streptophyta; Magnoliopsida; Solanales; Solanaceae.
CUUCUUUUAUUUCUUCUGUGAAUUUUAUUCUUCCUCUACUCUUAGGGAUACCCAUAUGCUGCCUCUGUGCCUCUGAUCUAACAUGACCGCCAAUGUGUGUGGCAAAACUGUCACUUUUAAAAAAUUCAGACCUUGUUCGCACUGUUGAGGAGUAAAAUCUCGGUCUCAUAUAACUUUAAGUUCCUCUGAUGUUCAAUUAAGUUGAUUUAGUUGUUAUAGUUAAGAAAUUCAUAUUUGAUCAACUACCUUGAAUGUCCUGCCAUCAUUUUAAGUCUGAAAGAGUACAGUAUCAGGUUAAAGGUUGAACAAGCUAAGAAAAUAACGAAGAAUCAAGAAAGAAUCUACAUCAAAUUUUGAAAGUUAAAGAGCACCAGUUGUUAAUGGUUCCUUGGUUGUCACUCUAGACUUAAGUUUUGCUGGAAAAAAAAAGAGUACCAGUUGUUAUUUGAUUGUGUAUUUCCAAUAUGGACCUUUUGUAAUCACAAGGCAUGUGUUUCUGAUGAAAACAAAUCAGUUGUCAUUGGUCUUACUUUUAUACUUAUUGAUUUGUACUUGAACAUAUUUUUCUUCUUCUAUUUUUUCUUGUCCUUUACUUCCUAAUAUAUCUAAUGAAAGAAUUAGAACAUAAAAUUGUUGUCAUCAGAAAGUGUUGCAGAAAUUUUUGGCAUCAUUUGAGAUGACUAGGAUUAUCUGAAACUGAUGAAAGCCUUUGUUAAAGAAAAUCUUUGGCAUCAUUAUUCUUAGAAUACCGGAUGAUGUAUUUUACAAUCAAUUGUUCAUAUUCAAUCUCAAACCCUUUGGGGAGUUCAUGUAUUUCUUGGAAUUACGCGAGCAUAUUUUAUUUUAUUUCUGCAAUGUUAAUAAGUAUUACCAGGAAAUCAUUUUUUUUUAUUCUUUUUCCUUUGAAUGGUUAGUAUUCAUGCUAUAAAAUGGUCUCUUAUUUACCUCUUUUUCAUUACCAACUAGGUUAUGAAUGGUUUGGGAUUUCAAGGAAAGGAUCUCAAGACACUUUCAACAAAGAUACCAUUUACUAUGACAAGGAAAAAAUAUUUUAACAAAUUAAAUAAAUCAUUCUUCUUUUGGUGAUUUAAUUGUGGGAAAUUAGUUGUUAAGUAAACUAAAUGAUAUAUAGUACCCAUGUUAGUGGGUAAUUUUCAGUUGUGAUAAUCAAUGGCUUGUUAGUCAUUGGAAAUAUGUUGUUGAACGUCCCAUGCUUUUGGAGAUUCUCCCUUGCUCACCUUUUAACGGAGUACCUGUAUGUUCUUAUUUAAGAAGUUGUCCAAUUGCUAAUGGAACUGCAUUUUCUAAAAAUAGUGUUUUUCUAAUUCUACUAGGUUGAUAAUAAUGAGUGAUCUGUUUUUGACAUCUAUUUUUCCUUUUUCCAUUUAGCAUAACUUCUUGCUCUAUGAAUUCUCUUUAUAGCUUGAACAUAUUUUGUAUUACAUCUAAAUAGUUAUAUAAUUUUCUGUUGUUUCUCUCACCAUUUAGCUGCAGCAGCUAGUCAUAAUUUAGAUAAUAGUCCAAGAAAGGUCAUUUCUUUGGAAACAACAAGUCCAUUGAAUCUACACUCAUAUGAGGAUUUGGAAGCUUCAGUUUACAAGUAAAGAUGAAAUUUUGAAGAUUUAGAACAAGCUGACAAUUUUUUUUGUUCAACAAAGCAUUAUAGUAUUUACUAAGGAUGUUAGCCUUUGUGGGAUAAUGAGUUAUGUGAAUAGUAUUGUGAACUCUAUUUAUAUGCUUUUGAGUAACUAUAUUAGAAGUUGUAUAAUAUCUUAGAAAAUCUUGAAUUAUUUAGCUGCCACAUUUUUGGCCAUAAUCAUUAUUAAUUCUACUUCU